CACCACCAUUCGCACCCGCCUCCCGGUUUUGACGCUCUCUCCUCUCCCCAUUCCACUACGCCCCGAACAUCCCACCCCCCGACACGCAACGACGGAACGGAGCCAAUUUUCUUCCCCGCCUCCGGAUUUCCCUGCCCCCCGUCCUCUCGUCUCUCGAUCUGAUCGAGGCCACGGCCCGGCGGGAAUGGCGGCCGAGUCGUCGGCGGCGGCCGGCAUGCGCAAGGCGCCCUCCAUGGAGUGGCGCUGGGUGUCCGCGGGGGAGGAGGAGGACGACGAGCUGGAGGGCCGCGGGGCGGGGGGCCCCGCGGCCGUCGGCGCGGCGGGCCGGGGCGGCAGCUUCGAGUCCGAGGACGAGGAGGACAACGGCGAGUACGAGGACGAGGACGAGGAGCAGAGGGAGGCCCGGCAGCGCCUGAUCCGCACCGUGCCCACCGUCGACUGGUUCGACGUCGAGGGCAACGAGGUCUCCGGCGCGCAGCCGCUCGAGGACCCCGAGGAGUUUGAUUUUGGCAGGACAGUAUUUCUUGCUCUUCAGACUCUUGCUGUGGUUUUCGGAGAUAUUGGAAUAAGUCCACUGUAUACAUUUGAUGUCAUGUUCAACAAGUACCCUAUUCUUGAGGAGGAGGAUGUUCUGGGAGCACUCUCACUAGUUCUGUAUACUCUGAUUUUGAUGCCAUUGGUGAAGUAUGUCUUGGUUGUCCUUUGGGCUAAUGAUGAUGGUGAAGUUAUUUUAUGACUCCACAGGCGGUAUAUUUGCCAUGUAUUCUUUAAUUUGUAGAAAUGCAAAAGUGAGUCUCAUUCCAAACCAAGUACAAGCUCAGCCUGAGAAGAGGAUGUCAAGUUUCCGUCUCAAGCUUCCCACAGAUGAGCUUGAGAGGUCCAUAAAAGUAAAGGAGAAACUUGAAUCUUCACUCAUGAUGAAGAAGUUACUUUUAGGCUUAGUACUAUUUGGGACUGCCAUGUUUAUAUCCAAUGGAGUUAUCACACCAGCAAUGUCAGUGCUGUCUGCUGUCAGCGGCUUGAAAGUUGGGAUACCAAAGGCCUCACAAGAUGUUGUGGUGAUGAUUUCAAUUGCACUUCUUGUUGUGCUGUAUAGUCUACAGAGAUAUGCCACUAGCAAAAUAGGAUUUAUAGUUGGCCCUUGUUUGCUGAUAUGGUUUUGCUGCCUUGGAGGAAUUGGCAUAUGCAAUCUCAGUAGAUAUGGAUCGGGAGCUUUUAAGGCGUUUAAUCCUCUAUACAUUUUUUAUUAUUUUGGGAGGAAUCCCUUUCAGGCCUGGCUCUCCCUUGCUGGUUGUCUUUUGUGUGCAACAGGAUCUGAGGCUAUCUUUUCAAAUCUUUGCCACUUUCCUGUACGAUUUGUUCAGUUUAUGUUUGUUCUUCUUGUUCUUCCUUGCCUUGUCUUGGCCUAUUUAGGACAAGCUGCUUUCCUCAUUGCAAACGAAAAGACUCCUGAACAUAUCUUCUUUGCAUCUAUUCCAGGGAAUGCUUUCUGGCCUGUUUUCUUGCUUGCUAAUUUAGCUGCACUGAUUGCCAGUAGGACAAUGACGAUUGCUAUAUUCCAAUGCCUAAAGCAGUCCAUAUCACUUGGUUGCUUUCCUCGGCUCAAAAUUGUCCAUACAUCUCGAAAAUUUAUGGCUAAGAUAUACAUUCCAGUCGUAAACUGGUUUCUGCUGGCUUCCUGUUUGGGCUUUAUUCUGCUCUUCCGAAGCACAUCUGAUGUUGGGAAUGCAUAUGCCAUAGCUGAACUUGGGGUGAUGAUAAUGGCCACGGUCUAUGUUACACUCAUAAUGCUUCUAAUAUGGGAAACCAAUAUUAUUAAGGUCAUCUCAUUCCUUAUCACAUUCCUAUCCUUGGAGCUGAUUUUCUUCUCAUCAGCUCUGAGUAGUGUUGGGGAUGGAGGUUGGGCACUGUUGGUCUUUGCAUCUGGUCUUGUCAUGAUUAUGUUCAUCUGGAACUACGGAACCAAACUGAAGUAUGACAGUGAACUCAAACAGAAGCUUUCAAAAGAUCUAAUGAGAAAACUGGGGCCCAACCUUGGCACAAUGAGAGCGCCUGGACUAGGCUUGGUGUACAGUGAGAUAGUGACAGGAGUUCCUGCAAUUUUUGGUCAUUUUCUGACCGCCCUCCCUGCUAUCCACUCAAUAAUCGUAUUCGUGUGCGUCAGGAAUGUGCCAGUGCCUGCGGUUCCCCAAAGUGAAAGGUUUCUUUUCCAGCGUGUUUGUACAAGGGGCUAUCACAUGUUUCGCUGUAUUGCCAGAUACGGAUACAAAGACAAGAAACAGGAGCACCAUAACACAUUUGAGCGCCUUCUGAUAGAAGGCCUUGAAAAGUUCAUACAGCGGGAGGCUGUAGAGUUGUCCCUACAGAGUGAAGAUGAUGUCGACUCCGAUGAGGAGCCUUCAACCCCUGGACAGAUAAUCACUGCACCAAACGGCAGCCUCUACUCACUCGAUGCCCCUCUCCUGGUGGACUUUACGCCUUCAGUAGACACGAUUCCUGAAACACCCAGUUGCUCAACGCCUCAAGAUCCCUCGUUGGAUUACACACAAAACCUUGAGCUGGAGCUCGCAUUCAUCAAGCAGGCGAAGGAAUCUGGAGCCGUGUAUCUCAUCGACAACCCCAUCGUCAAAGCCAGGAAGGACUCGUGGUUCUUCAAGAAGUUGAUCAUAAACUAUUUUUUCGCGUUCCUGAGGAACAACUGCCGCAGGGCGAUUGUGUCGAUGAGCAUCCCACACUCGAACCUGCUGCAGGUGCGCUUGACCUCUUAUGUCUGAAUGCGGAACCUACUGCUUCAGCACAGUUGUUUUGUUCAUGGCAAUCUACUUAUCCAGUAGAGAUCACACUAACCAUAUAUAAAGGAACAACAAUGGUGAUUGUCGGAAGGCAAAUGCUUAACUUUCCUGGCUUUAUUCAGAAGGUGAUGGCUAGGACAAUAGGAGCCCAUGUCUCCUGUAAGUUUUGUACCGCGUCGAAACGCAGCAGGCAGGCACAUCACACGAUGAUGUAUUUAACCUGUAUAUUUCCCUUGUGCAGCAGAUUGUUGUGUGCUCCUUCGACUCUGUGGGGCCAGUUUUGUUGUUUGCAAAAUGCAGAGUGCUAGCUGAAAAGGAUCAUUAGGUCAUAUAUAUUACAUAUACAUAUGUACAUUUUUACGGCCAUCGAGCAGUGCUGUUGCUUUAUCCUUACCUUUUCUUAUCUGCACUUAUUGGGACUUUUACAGUCUGGCUUCAGUUUCUGUACCCAAAUGCAGCCCCGCAAGGACUGAAUGAAUUUUACUACUUACUCCCUCCCAUCCAUAUUAAUUGUUGCAGACUUGGCACAAUUUCG
This 3327-nucleotide ribosomal RNA is filed under the name Triticum aestivum (bread wheat). RNAcentral's name for it is "partial small subunit ribosomal RNA". Lineage: Eukaryota; Viridiplantae; Streptophyta; Magnoliopsida; Poales; Poaceae. The record is from RNAcentral.